GUGUCGCGCCCCGAUGUUUCCGCCAUCGGUUGGGGUGUGACAUCUGGUGCCUUAUAUCACUGUCUUAAAACACGUGAAUCUCAAAACCCUAAAUUUCACAUUUCACCGCCUCCCUUUCAGAUAUGAGACCUCUCUCUCUCAAAUCGCAACAAUAAACACCGCUGAAACCACCAGUUGCCACCAUCUUCCAUCAAACUUGCUGCUAGGGUUCAACGAUUUGGUUGCUAAGUGACUGGAUUUCAACUCUAUUAAGGCUUAGGGUUCAAUUUGGGCUUCGCAUCAUUUAAGGGUGUAUGCCAUUCGAUCUUUACAGAAUGUGAAGUGGUUUUGUCACACGGAACAUUUGAUUUGGUGUCAAGCAGUU
This 364-nucleotide long non-coding RNA is filed under the name Helianthus annuus (common sunflower). Its description in RNAcentral is "sRNA HanXRQr2_Chr09g0371721". The record is from RNAcentral. Lineage: Eukaryota; Viridiplantae; Streptophyta; Magnoliopsida; Asterales; Asteraceae.